Molecule: long non-coding RNA, 1565 nt
Filed under: Solanum melongena (eggplant)
Lineage: Eukaryota; Viridiplantae; Streptophyta; Magnoliopsida; Solanales; Solanaceae
Source: RNAcentral
CGUACUAUACAAUUCUUUUCUUUGUGGGAUCUUUUUCCCACGAGAGGUAAUGAAAAGAAUUCUAGAAUGGAUUGCUACCUAUGCCUAGAUCACGGAUAAAUGGAAAUUUUAUUGAUAAGACCUUUUCAAUUGUAGCCGAUAUCUUAUUACGAGUAAUUCCGACAACUUCCGGAGAAAAAGAGGCAUUUACCUAUUACAGAGAUGGUGCGAUUUGAUUCUUUUUUUUUUGAUUUUAUAUUUAUUCAUUUCUCUCAGUCUUACGAGGAGAAAAAUACAUGAUUCGAGAAAAAAAAUCUACGCUUUUUGAAGGUGAAGUUUGGAAAUAGAACAAUUCCUUCUGUCGUGUAUCCUCGAUUAAUGCAACCUCAGAUGCUAUGUUUCAAUUAUAGAUUCUAGUAUUAAGCGAAAGGUUACGCCUAGAGGUUCUGUAUUACGGGUCAAUCCUACUCUACUAGCGCUAAUAGGCAGCAUAGGGGAAGAAGCGCUACACCUAGGAAUCAACAACACGAAAACUUUGUUCUAAGUCAGCCCUUUUCUUAGCGGGCUUGGGACUAAAAGAAUGGUUGGGACAACAAACAUCCAUCUCGUUCGUCCUUUGGAUACCCGUAUAACCAUCAAAGGAUAUUGAAGUGACUAAUUCCUGGAAAUUAGGAGGCGUUAAAAACAAAAAAAUUGUGGGAGUUAUCUUAUCAUUUCUAUCUAGUCCCAAUAGGCUUGAUGUUAAGAAAGAAUCUCUUGCAGGAAGGUUGGCUAGAGAUUUCUUGUAAAAACACUAGCCCUGCUGAGUUCAUAAUGAGAAUAUUUUCAUCGUUGAAUCUUUUUUGAUUCUAUGUAUUAUUCUCAUUAUGCACAUAAGGGAGGAGCCGUAUGAGGUGAAAAUCUCACGUACGGUUCUGGAAUGGAGAUUCUUUCAAUUGAAUGACGACCGUAACGGAUGUCGGCUCAAUCCGAAGGAAAUUAUGCGGAAGCUUUGCAGAAUUAUUAUGAAGCUAUGCGACUAGAAAUUGAUCCCUAUGAUCGAAGUUAUAUACUCUAUAAUAUAGGGCUUAUCCACACAAGUAAUGGAGAACAUACGAAAGCUUUGGAAUAUUAUUUUCGAGCACUAGAACGAAACCCAUUCUUACAACAAGAUUUUAAUAAUAUGGCCGUGAUGUGUCAUUACGUGCGACUAUCUCCACUAUAGAAAGAAAAAAAGAAAAAUCUAGUAAAGUAACUACUAGAACCAAAUAGGCUUUCUACAUAUGCAUCGUCUAAAACAACGAUUUUUAUCAGCUGUAGCAAAGAACGAAACUUCAUAGAAGUCAAAAUAGGAAAAAAUAAAAAUGCCUAGCAACUUUUUUCUAUGGAUAUAAAGCUUUAAUUGAGAGAGAUAGAGAAAGCACCGUAAAGAUCAAUUAGCGAGGUUUUGGGCCGAUACAAUAAUAACUGCGUACUUAUCUCAUGAUGUGAGAUAAAAAUUAGGAAUUAACUUAUCUAAUAGAGUCGAUCCACUAAAGUCUUGAGCAGCGGUGUAGGAUCAGAUCCCAAAGAUAGUAAGUAUUUUCUUUCUUAUGAAAGAAAGUCUU